Long non-coding RNA from Zingiber officinale, 2100 nucleotides. RefSeq lists it as uncharacterized. The transcript is spliced from 3 exons. NCBI's taxonomy places the organism in Eukaryota, Viridiplantae, Streptophyta, Magnoliopsida, Zingiberales, Zingiberaceae. The record is from RefSeq and is a predicted model, not a curated record.
GAUAUCCGAAAGGAUAGGGCUCGAGCGAAUAUUAUGCGAGAGGGUAUCGACAGAUAGAGCUCGACUGAAAGGAGAGGGGCGACUAAAAGAGUAGUUGAGCCAGCGACCGAUAGGUCGAUUGUAGACGUAAGGAUAGAACUCGACUGAUAAGGUAAGAGUAAAUGGCCUAAAGCCAUAAAAUACUGCUGAUGGUUUUUUGGGUGUUGCUUUGGGCGACAAAAGGAGAAUAUAGCCAGCGCAAUACCAUCAUUACUUUUGGGAAUCAACCGAUUGAGCUCGCCCGAAGGGCGAGGGGGAUUGUAGACUUAGAUAUGCUCGACCAUAAGGGUAAGAGUAAAUGGCCUAAAGCCAUUUACGACUGUUGCUUUGGGCGACUACAAGAGUAUUUGAGCCAGCGACCGAUAGGUCGAUAGUAGGAGACAGAUAGAGCUCGAGCGUAUGCGAGAGGGGCGACAAAAGGGGAAUAGAGCCAGCGCAAUACCAUCAUGACUUUUGGUCGAUUGUAGACGUAAGGAUAGAACUCGACUGAUAAGGAGAGGGGCGAAGAGCUGAACGAAGGGAAGGGGCGACAAAAGGAGAAUAGAGCCAGCGCAAUACCAUCAUUACUUUUGGUCGAUUGUAGACGUAAGGAUAGAGCUCGAGCGUAUGCGAGAGGGGCGAAGAGCUGAACGAAGGGAAGGGUAUCGACAGAUAUGCUCGACUAAUAUUGAUAAGGAGAGGGGCGACACAAGGGGAAUAGAGCCAGCGACCGAUAGGUCGAUUGUAGACGUAAGGAUAGAGCUCGACUGAUAAGGAGAGGGGCGACAAAAGGAGCCAGCGACCGAUAGGUCGAUUGUAGACGUAAGGAUAGAGCUCGAGCGUAUGCGAGAGGGGCGACGGAAAGAAUAGCAGUAGUUAAUAGCAGUAGUUGAGCCAGCGCAAUACCAUCAUUACUUUUGGGAAUCAACCGAUUGAGCUCGCCCGAAGGGCGAGGGGGAUUGUAGACUUAGAUAUGCUCGACCAUAAGGGUAAGAGUAAAUGGCCUAAAGCCAUUUACGACUGUUGCUUUGGGCGACUACAAGAGUAUUGAGGCAGCGACCGAUAGGUCGAUAGUAGGAGACAGAUAGAGCUCGACUGAUAAGGAGAGGGGCGACUAAAAGGAGGCAGCGACCGAUAGGGAAUCAACCGAUUGAGCUCGCCCGAAGGGCGAGGGGGAUAGUAGGAGACAGAUAGAGCUCGAGCGUAUGCGAGAGGGCCGACUACAAGAAUAGCAGUAUUGAGGCAGCGACCGAUAGGUCGAUUGUAGACGAAAGGAUAGGCUCGACUGAUAAGGAGAGGGGCGACUAAAAGGAGGCAGCGACCGAUAGGGAAUCAACCGAUUGAGCUCGCCCGAAGGGCGAGGGGGAUAGUAGGAGACAGAUAGAGCUCGAGCGUAUGCGAGAGGGCCGACUACAAGAGUAUUGAGGCAGCGACCGUAAGGGAAUCAACCGAUUGAGCUCGCCCGAAGGGCGAGGGGGAUUGUAGACUAAGAUAGAGCUCGAGCGAAUAUUAUGCGAGAGGGGCGAAGAGCUGAACUACAGGGAAGGGUAUCUUUAGAUAUGCUCGACUAAUAUUGAUAAGGAGAGGGGCGACUACAAGAGUAGGAUAGCAGGGAAUAGAGGCAGCGCAAUACCAUCAUUACUUUUGGGAAUCAACCGAUUGAGCUCGCCCGAAGGGCGAGGGGCGAAGAGCUGAACGAAGGGAAGGGUAUCGACAGAUAUGCUCGACUGAUAAGGAGAGGGGCGAAGAGCUGAGAAGAAACGACAGGGAAGGGGGAUUGUAGACUUAGAUAUGCUCGACCAUAAGGGUAAGAGUAAAUGGCCGUUGAGCCAUAAAAUACUGCUGAUGGAGAGAGGUUGCUGUGGGGCGACCACAAGAGUAGGAUAGCAGUAGUUGAGCCAGCGACCAUAAGUACGAUUGUAGAGACAGAUAGCUCGACUGAGAAGGGUAUCUUUAGAUAGCUCGACCAUUAGGGGUAGGGGUAGGGCCAAUAAAAAAAGUAGUCUUUUCCCUAAUAAAGAUGAUGUUUGUUUUGAAUAAGAAAUUUGAGCAAGAAAAUACUGCUGAUGUCUUCUGCUCUGA